This 162-nucleotide ribosomal RNA is filed under the name Dorcoceras philippense. RNAcentral describes it as "5.8S ribosomal RNA". It matches the Rfam family "5.8S ribosomal RNA". Rfam says of the family: 5.8S ribosomal RNA (5.8S rRNA) is a component of the large subunit of the eukaryotic ribosome. It is transcribed by RNA polymerase I as part of the 45S precursor that also contains 18S and 28S rRNA. Functionally, it is thought that 5.8S rRNA may be involved in ribosome translocation. Lineage: Eukaryota; Viridiplantae; Streptophyta; Magnoliopsida; Lamiales; Gesneriaceae. The record is from RNAcentral.
AACGACUCUCGGCAACGGAUAUCUCGGCUCUCGCAUCGAUGAAGAACGUAGCGAAAUGCGAUACUUGGUGUGAAUUGCAGAAUCCCGUGAACCAUCGAGUCUUUGAACGCAAGUUGCGCCCGAAGCCAGCAGGCUGAGGGCACGUCUGCCUGGGUGUCACGC